This 45-nucleotide non-coding RNA is filed under the name Schistosoma haematobium. The record is from RNAcentral. Lineage: Eukaryota; Metazoa; Platyhelminthes; Trematoda; Strigeidida; Schistosomatidae.
AUACACCUGGCGAGUUCCAAAUAGGACGAAACAUGCGUCCUGGAU